Molecule: ribosomal RNA, 907 nt
Filed under: Penicillium simplicissimum
Lineage: Eukaryota; Fungi; Ascomycota; Eurotiomycetes; Eurotiales; Aspergillaceae
Description: LSU rRNA
Rfam family: Eukaryotic large subunit ribosomal RNA
Source: RNAcentral
GCAUAUCAUAAGCGGAGGAAAAGAAACCAACAGGGAUUGCCUCAGUAACGGCGAAGUGAAGCGGCAAGAAGCUCAAAUUUGAAAGCUGGCCCCUUCGGGGUCCGCAUUGUAAUUUGCAGAGGAUGCUUCGGGAGCGGCCCCCAUCUAAGUGCCCUGGAACGGGCCGUCAUAGAGGGUGAGAAUCCCGUCUGGGAUGGGGUGCCCGCGCCCGUGUGAAGCUCCUUCGACGAGUCGAGUUGUUUGGGAAUGCAGCUCUAAAUGGGUGGUAAAUUUCAUCUAAAGCUAAAUACUGGCCGGAGACCGAUAGCGCACAAGUAGAGUGAUCGAAAGAUGAAAAGCACUUUGAAAAGAGAGUUAAACAGCACGUGAAAUUGUUGAAAGGGAAGCGCUUGCGACCAGACUCGCUCGCGGGGUUCAGCCGGCCUUCGGGCCGGUGUACUUCCCCGCGGGCGGGCCAGCGUCGGUUUGGGCGGCCGGUCAAAGGCCCUCGGAAUGUAACGCCCCCCGGGGCGUCUUAUAGCCGAGGGUGCCAUGCGGCCAGCCCGGACCGAGGAACGCGCUUCGGCUCGGACGCUGGCAUAAUGGUCGUAAGCGACCCGUCUUGAAACACGGACCAAGGAGUCUAACAUCUACGCGAGUGUUCGGGUGUCAAACCCGUGCGCGCAGUGAAAGCGAACGGAGGUGGGAACCCCUCGGGGUGCACCAUCGACCGAUCCUGAUGUCUUCGGAUGGAUUUGAGUAAGAGCGUAGCUGUUGGGACCCGAAAGAUGGUGAACUAUGCCUGAAUAGGGCGAAGCCAGAGGAAACUCUGGUGGAGGCUCGCAGCGGUUCUGACGUGCAAAUCGAUCGUCAAAUUUGGGUAUAGGGGCGAAAGACUAAUCGAACCAUCUAGUAGCUGGUUCUGCGA